AGAGUUUGAUCCUGGCUCAGGAUGAACGCUAGCUACAGGCUUAACACAUGCAAGUCGAGGGGAAACGACAUCGAAAGCUUGCUUUUGAUGGGCGUCGACCGGCGCACGGGUGAGUAACGCGUAUCCAACCUGCCCACCACUUGGGGAUAACCUUGCGAAAGUAAGACUAAUACCCAAUGACGUCUCUAGAAGACAUCUGAAGGAGAUUAAAGAUUUAUCGGUGAUGGAUGGGGAUGCGUCUGAUUAGCUUGUUGGCGGGGUAACGGCCACCAAGGCUACGGAUCAGUAGGGGUCUGGAGAGGAAGGUCCCCCANAUUGGAACUGAGACACGGUCCAAACUCCUACGGGAGGCA
RNAcentral lists this ribosomal RNA (353 nucleotides) under uncultured bacterium. RNAcentral describes it as "bacterial SSU rRNA". It matches the Rfam family "Bacterial small subunit ribosomal RNA", at positions 8 to 350 of the family's 1533-position model. The record is from RNAcentral.